AUGGAUCCUGGAGACGUGCUAUUCAUCAGAUUUCAUUUUGAAGGCCAGUUUUUGAAUGAUGGGAAAACACUUGAAUAUAGUGGGGGAAAAGAGGCCAUGUCAUUUGUUUAUCGCAAGAACUUCUGUUUUUUUGAUCUGGUUCAGAGUUUUGGUAUGCACUGCCAAACAAAGGAUGACAAGAUGUUUCAUUGGUUAUAUCCUGGAAAAGAGAUGGUUUGUGGUCUGAAAAUGGUUGCUUUAGACAUAGAUUGCAAGCAGAUUAGAGAUUGUGUUGCUGUUGGAAGUAUAGCUGAAAUAUAUGUGGAGCUAUAUCCAAAUUCUGAAAACGACGAACACGACAGGGAUCCAGGCAGAGAUGUUGAGCUUCUGAUGGGUCCGAAUGCUAGUAGUGAAUCAGAGGGAGCUGCAGAUCAUUUUGUCGCAUUGGCUACUUGUCCACCUGCGGACAAUGAUUGUGUUGCAAUUAGUAACUCAAAAGAGCCUGAAGAGGAAAAUUCAGAUGCUGCAAAUGAAAAUUCAGAAGAAGAUGAAGACGAGGAUAGCAGCGAGAGUGAUUACUGCCCUGAUGAUGACAUCAUUUCCGAUGAAGAUGAAGAGGCUGUCGAGAUCAACAAGAAAUAUAAAGAGUAUAAGGCAAAGAUGAAGGCUGGACAACUAGAGCACCUUGAUGAUGCUAUGCUGGAUGGUGGGCCUGCAAUAGGGUCAUCAAAUAAGGUGGGGGAGGAAAAUGAUGGAAAUGGUACUGCAUAUGAAGAUAGCUCUGAUUUUAUGAUUCUUUCGAUGAGAUUGGCAGUGAUGGUGAAGUAA
RNAcentral lists this ribosomal RNA (807 nucleotides) under Triticum aestivum (bread wheat). Its description in RNAcentral is "partial small subunit ribosomal RNA". Lineage: Eukaryota; Viridiplantae; Streptophyta; Magnoliopsida; Poales; Poaceae. The record is from RNAcentral.